CCAUCCCCAAUUAGCGUGUCCCAACCUUCCCAAAUUGCGGUCUCAGCUCUGCUCCGCCCUCGCCCACCCGCCCGUUUCACAUGCCCCCAAAUCCACCGUGGCCGCGCCACCGUAGCAGCAGCACCACCCCGUCAUCGACGGCAGGAGGAACAGCAGCAACGAGGAGGCGUUUCAGGAGGUGGACCCGACCGGGCGGUUCGGGCGGUACGCGGCCAUGCCGGGAUGGGCUCCGUCAAGAAGGUUCGACCAGGAGGAGUGCAUCGAGGUGGCGUGGAACCGGGUGCGCCUGCGCGCGCUGGACCCCGCCAUGGUCGACCGCCGCCAUGCCGAGGUGCGCCUUCUCCGCUCCCUCCAUCGUGACCACAUCAUAGGCUUCCACGAGGUCUGGCUCGACCACGACGCUGGCGUGCUGAACUUCAUCACCGAGGUCUGCAACUCGGCGAGCCUUCGCGAGUAUUUCGACCGCCACAAGCACGUCUCCGUCAAAGCGCUCAAGAAGUGGGCGCUCCUUGAGGGCCUUGACCACCUCCACACCCGCGACCCCUGCAUCAUCCACCGCGACCGUACUUGCAGCAACGUCUUCAGCAACGGCAACACCGGCCAUCCUCAACGGCGACGAGGACAACAGUAGGAUCUAACGUACGGUUCUUGGUCCACCCUUUUCAUCGUACUGGAUUAGGAAUGCUUGCUUGUACCUGGUGCUGAUGGUUGGGGUUCUGCAGACUUGGCAGAGAUUGUGAAUUUUCUCGGUAUCAUGCAAAGCGAUUCAGUUGAGAGGAAUGCAACUCUUUGUUCUUUGAGGCUUACUUUUCUUUAGUGUUAGAUUUUGUUACAUAUCUGCUGUGUGACGAGAAUUGCAAACUCAGAUUCAGCGGGCGCCAUCUUUUGUGGUGUUGCAUGCCAGAGGCAGGCAGUUGGAGCUUCUCCGUCUAAUUGUUAACUUGGUGGAAGCUAGCUGCUAUACCGACAACCUAGAGUGGAGGUUGGUUUAACACUUCACUCUUUGUAGUAUAAUUUCUCUAUGCUGAUUAUACAAAACCAUUAGUCAGAUUCUCAUAAUCGGUAGCUAUUUUCUGUUAAACAUUUUCCAGCAUUGUUAGCAGAAAAGGUUUUUGAUGCAAAAUGUACUUCAUUGUACAGAAAGUAUUAGAUGAUGUUUUAACCUCAGUGUUGGAGCAUCUGACACAUACAUUACCUGACAAAUUGCUCCCUCACAGUGUCGUUGAUGAGCAGUUAGAAAGGAUGUACAACUUGUAGAUUCCAUUGCCAUACAUUACCUGACAAAUUGCUCCCUCGCAGUGUCGUUGAUGAGCAGUUAGAAAGGAUGUACAACUUGUAGAUUCCAUUGCAGAGAAACAUGCUUAGAUUUUUUCAGAAGAGUGCAAGUCUUUUCCUGCUGCUGUCCAAAUACAACCAAUUUACCCCCUCCAAAUCAGGAGCUUGGAUGAUGUCAGGUUGAAUCUCGAGGUUCUCAAGUACUUGUGAUGGUAUUCUCUUAUAUAUCUAACUAAGAAGAUGUAGAUAAUAAAAAAAUUAUUUGUUUUGUAUAACUUUACUGCGCAUAUGUGUAUGAGUGUAUGUUCAGAUUGUUCAACACCCCCUUUAUUUUUCUAGAAUCCCGUGCCAUUUUGUAUUUGUACAGCUUGCAUUGAGGGAGUGCAGCAAAUCCAGGACUCACCAUGAUGAUGUGCAUUCUAAGAAAAAUAUAAUCAAAUUCCUAUCACUUAAGAUACCUUUACUAGCGGAACAAUGGAAUUGUGUGUACAAAAUCUUUCUUUUAUAGCAAUUAUGCUGAUAAAAUAUUCGUCCUUCAUGUUUUGCAGAAUAGUUCAGUGAAAUGUACAAAGGGAUAACCUUGGAUGCAGUACUGGAGCAUAGGCGGGACACUACUGGUCCUUGCCCCCACCUCCCUUCCUAGAGGAAAUUUUACCAAAUAUGCUUAUAUUUCUGCUAAUCGUUCUACUAACCCUCUGGCGUCUCUGAUCACCCUAGCCUUUUUUAUGUCAUACACUCAUUUUGGCCCCUCCUAAUAUCUGGUUCAUGCUCCCCCACAGCUUAGAUUGUGAAGACUUGCUUAGUCCAUCCUUUUGCUUUGCUUACUAAUGAUGCCCCAAGAUGCAAAAUACUAAUUAUUUUGCUUUAUGUGUGUGCUACAUUUUAGAUGCAAUUGCUGAUCAACAUCUUUGGCUUCACGGUUAUUCAUGGAAACUGGAUGUGGCAAUGAAACAAAAGGAGUUGCACUGGUUGGGAGGCAUGGAGAGUUCAAGUACUAUCUGGGAUACUACUUACAUUGCUAAUAAGUUAACGUCUGGUCCUAAUACUAGGAUUUCCAGCUAUCUUAGUUUCAAGCCCUGUAUGCUGAUUUGAUUGAAGGUGGAAAUGGGACUCCUUUUGGUGCUUAAGUAGUAACUCAAUGAUAGCGGGAACUGGUUGAAUUAUCAAUAUACAUUUGGGCAUAGAGCAUGAGGAUGUAUGAAACUUCUGAACACUUUCAGGUUGUCGGACAAACUGCAACUAUGAACAGUAUGCCUCAUUUGACUCUUGUGGGGGUAGAGCGAUAAAAUAAACAUGUCAUCACUAGGCGAGUUCAAACACUGGAUGGCAAGGCGAUCAUCUAUUUGAAUACACUUAUUCGUUUCAAGGAGGUAGAAGGCGGUGCAGAAGCUGCAGUUUUGACCCCACUUGUGCUAGCCAAUUUUUUUUCUUUGAGAUUUGUGCCAGCCAAUUUGGGUAUGAGUGAUGCUCACGGAGGCCAUUCUACGUAGCUGAUGGACUGUCAUGUCUAUAUAAUUCUUAUAUAGCUGACAAUUCAAUCAUGAAACGCUAGGGCUCCAUGGAAGGAAAAGGAAAAUGCGUCUGCAAAAUCAGUAGAUUUUGUGAUGGAAGGAUUGGUAGAUUUGAUAUUAUCUUACAACCUAUAAGAACACCGAAUGUGUGAAACAACAUUCGUUAUUGUCCAGCAACGCGACCAUAAAUCCACAAUGA
Triticum urartu is the source of this 2985-nucleotide non-coding RNA. The record is from RefSeq and is a predicted model, not a curated record. Lineage: Eukaryota; Viridiplantae; Streptophyta; Magnoliopsida; Poales; Poaceae.